This 497-nucleotide ribosomal RNA is filed under the name uncultured bacterium. Its description in RNAcentral is "partial 16S ribosomal RNA". It matches the Rfam family "Bacterial small subunit ribosomal RNA", at positions 28 to 507 of the family's 1533-position model. The record is from RNAcentral.
GAUGAACGCUGGCGGCGUGCCUAAUACAUGCAAGUCGAGCGAACGGACGAGAAGCUUGCUUUUCUGAUGUUAGCGGCGGACGGGUGAGUAACACGUGGAUAACCUACCUAUAAGACUGGGAUAACUUCGGGAAACCGGAGCUAAUACCGGAUAAUAUUUUGAACCGCAUGGUUCAAAAGUGAAAGACGGUCUUGCUGUCACUUAUAGAUGGAUCCGCGCUGCAUUAGCUAGUUGGUAAGGUAACGGCUUACCAAGGCAACGAUGCAUAGCCGACCUGAGAGGGUGAUCGGCCACACUGGAACUGAGACACGGUCCAGACUCCUACGGGAGGCAGCAGUAGGGAAUCUUCCGCAAUGGGCGAAAGCCUGACGGAGCAGCGCCGCGUGAGUGAUGAAGGUCUUCGGAUCGUAAAACUCUGUUAUUAGGGAAGAACAUAUGUGUAAGUAACUGUGCACAUCUUGACGGUACCUAAUCAGAAAGCCACGGCUAACUACGUG